GCCUAGCCCUAAACCUUGGUAAUAUAUCACACACCCUACCCGCCUGGGAACUACGAGCACCAGCUUAAAACCCAAAGGACUUGGCGGUGCUUUAGACCCCCCUAGAGGAGCCUGUUCUAGAACCGAUAACCCCCGUUCAACCUCACCCUUCCUUGUUUAUCCCGCCUAUAUACCGCCGUCGUCAGCUUACCCUGUGAAGGACUAAAAGUAAGCACAACUGGCACAACCCAAAACGUCAGGUCGAGGUGUAGCGCAUGGAAGGGGAAGAAAUGGGCUACAUUCCCUAUAUUAGGGAACACGAACGGCGCACUGAAACACGCGCCUGAAGGAGGAUUUAGUAGUAAGCGGGAAAUAGCGUGUUCCGCUGAAAUCGGCCCUGAAGCGCGC
This 387-nucleotide ribosomal RNA is filed under the name Sebastes elongatus (greenstriped rockfish). RNAcentral's name for it is "partial 12S ribosomal RNA". It matches the Rfam family "Bacterial small subunit ribosomal RNA", at positions 794 to 1384 of the family's 1533-position model. The record is from RNAcentral. Lineage: Eukaryota; Metazoa; Chordata; Actinopteri; Perciformes; Sebastidae.